Molecule: ribosomal RNA, 240 nt
Filed under: uncultured bacterium
Lineage: Bacteria
Description: partial 16S ribosomal RNA
Rfam family: Bacterial small subunit ribosomal RNA
Source: RNAcentral
CCGGCGCACGGGUGAGUAACGCGUAUGCAACUUGCCUAUCAGAGGGGGAUAACCCGGCGAAAGUCGGACUAAUACCGCAUGAAGCAGGGGCCCCGCAUGGGGAUAUUUGCUAAAGAUUCAUCGCUGAUAGAUAGGCAUGCGUUCCAUUAGGCAGUUGGCGGGGUAACGGCCCACCAAACCGACGAUGGAUAGGGGUUCUGAGAGGAAGGUCCCCCACAUUGGUACUGAGACACGGACCAA